AGAGUUUGAUCAUGGCUCAGAAUGAACGCUGGCGGCACGCUUAACACAUGCAAGUCGAACGAGAUCUUCGGAUCUAGUGGCAGACGGGUGAGUAACGCGUGGGAACCUGCCCAGUAGUAGAGAAUAACUUGGGGAAACUUAAGCUAAUACUUUAUACGUCCUUCGGGAGAAAGCUUUAUGCGCUAUUGGAUGGGCCCGCGUUAGAUUAGUUUGUUGGUGAGGUAAUGGCUCACCAAGGCUACGAUCUAUAGCUGGUCUGAGAGGAUGAUCAGCCACACUGGGACUGAGACACGGCCCAGACUCCUACGGGAGGCAGCAGUGGGGAAUAUUGGACAAUGGGGGCAACCCUGAUCCAGCGAUGCCGCGUGAGUGAUGAAGGCCCUAGGGUUGUAAAACUCUUUCGUCAGGGAAGAUAAUGACGGUACCUGAAGAAGAAGAUCCGGCUAACUCCGUGCCAGCCGCCGCGGUAAUAC
Molecule: ribosomal RNA, 473 nt
Filed under: uncultured bacterium
Lineage: Bacteria
Description: bacterial SSU rRNA
Rfam family: Bacterial small subunit ribosomal RNA
Source: RNAcentral